Molecule: ribosomal RNA, 531 nt
Filed under: uncultured bacterium
Lineage: Bacteria
Description: bacterial SSU rRNA
Rfam family: Bacterial small subunit ribosomal RNA
Source: RNAcentral
CCUUGACAUACUAAGAACUUUCCAGAGAUGGAUUGGUGCCUUCGGGAACUUAGAUACAGGUGCUGCAUGGCUGUCGUCAGCUCGUGUCGUGAGAUGUUGGGUUAAGUCCCGNAACGAGCGCAACCCUUUUCCUUAUUUGCCGGCGGGUCAUGCCGGGAACUUUAAGGAUACUGCCAGUGACAAACUGGAGGAAGGCGGGGACGACGUCAAGUCAUCAUGGCCCUUACGGCCAGGGCUACACACGUGCUACAAUGGUCGAUACAAAGGGUUGCUACCUCGCGAGAGGAUGCUAAUCUCAAAAAGCCGAUCGUAGUCCGGAUCGCAGUCUGCAACUCGACUGCGUGAAGUCGGAAUCGCUAGUAAUCGCGGAUCAGAAUGCCGCGGUGAAUACGUUCCCGGGCCUUGUACACACCGCCCGUCACACCAUGGGAGUUUGUUGCACCAGAAGUAGGUAGUCUAACCGCAAGGAGGACGCUUACCACGGUGUGGCCGAUGACUGGGGUGAAGUCGUAACAAGGUAGGCGUAGAUGA